RNAcentral lists this long non-coding RNA (1533 nucleotides) under Nicotiana tabacum (common tobacco). RNAcentral's name for it is "long non-coding RNA (NTAB_LNC008392)". Lineage: Eukaryota; Viridiplantae; Streptophyta; Magnoliopsida; Solanales; Solanaceae. The record is from RNAcentral.
CACCGACUGUGUCUAUGAAGUCUCUACUUAUAAACUGACGCACUACUCGGGACAUGAGAUUUCCUGGCCAGUUCUUUAAGUGAACAAAGAAAUAGCUAAAUAAAGAUGAUUCUAAGGAAUACUCCACGAACAAAAGCGGAGCUCAUCAAUAGCACUGAAAGUGAGGAAAGUUCUAACCCGUAGCUUGCUCUCCUGCAAAACCGGUUCCUACGUUGUACCGCAGACCAACGUAGGUUCCCAACAGAGAACGUUAGUACCAUCCAUUGUACUCAAUGAGUCUCAACGACAGGGGACGAAACUUUAAUAACAUAUACAUUAUGAGCAAAGAUUCUAAAUGCAUGUAAAACAUAAAGCUUAUAAGAACAAUUCUAAAAUAAUUGCAUAAUAGCAGUUUAUGAAUAUUCUAAAAGAGAUUCUUUUCUUUUUCUUUAAAAAAAAAAUACUUCACUUUAUACUUUGGGAGUUUCAACUAUCCUCACUUAAUUCUGUCUCAGUCACCGUGUGAUCGGCACGGGUUCGAUCCCAACCUGAUCGAAUAGGCCCAAUCCAUGAGGUGCCACUCGCUUCAUAGUUCUCAGCGCUCAUGUGCCAUACCUUAGCUUGGCUAGGCAAAUUCUCAACAACGAGACCCUCGACUCGUGUGCUCCCUACUUUGACACAAGUAGUUUCAGAAAGUCAACGCCUUAGUCAGGACCCUCGGCCUGGACGAUGACCCCUUCUCAAAAUAGAGGAUACUCCCAAAAAAAUCUUUUCUUUCUAAAACUUCUUCUUGUGACUUUUCAAGUCUAAAUCUUUUCUGAAACAUCCUAUACAUACUCAUACUGGUGUCCUUAAUUGUAAAGCAUGGCAUAAGAAUGAAAUAAAUAUUCAAAAGUAUAUGUAAAGAUUCUUGCUCCAUCAUGAAUUUUCAACAUGAAAAUGGCAUAUAAGAAUAACAUAAAAAUCUAAAAAUUUAUGCACAUGUAUCAUAAUAAAUCAUCUAAACUUUAGCUAGAACAAUUCUAAGUUAAUAAGUACCCACUCGCUCCAAUUAAGUACAUAUAAACUCUUUUAAGCAAUUCAUCAAAUACCUUGUAUGCAUGCUUUUGUGAGUUAAACCACUUUAGUAAAGAGUUAUAUCAACUCACCUCAAAACUUCUCGAGGCAAUACGUAGGCCCCAGUCCAAUUUAUACCCGUCAAAUAAUUGAUUCUACAACAACCAGUACAUUUUAAUUAAUUUCAAAGUUUCACACCUAAAUAUGAAAUUUAAUUUUGAUACAGAGAAAGAAUGGAAUUAACUAUUCAAUUCUUACCUACCACUACUUUAGGAUAAUUGACAAUAGGAAAUUUUAUAUACCUGAGUUCAAGAAUUAGUGAUUUGUAAAGAACCCUAGAAUUUUCGUUGCCUGCGUGUGUAAGUUCCGUAGCCUUUGUGCUUGCUGCGUGAACAGAACAAUGUUCUGUUUCUUUAUUUCGAAUUAGGCUUUUUAGCCUUCCGCCUGUGAAUGAACAGAGGUUUGUUCGAUUAAGGCUUUAAGCCUUUUGUGUCUUUU